GACGAACGCUGGCGGCGUGCUUAACACAUGCAAGUCGAACGGAAAGGCCCUGCUUUUGUGGGGUGCCCGAGUGGCGAACGGGUGAGUAACAAGCGAGUAACCUGCCCUCCACUUUGGGAUAAACUCGGGAAACUGGGGCUAAUACCGGAUAGGAGCACCGUGUGCAUGGUGUGGGGGGGAGAUUUUCGGCGGUUGGGGGUGGACUCGCGGCAUAGCAGCUUGGUGGUGGGGUUGUGGCGUACCAAGGCGUUGACGGGUAGCCGGCCUGAGAGGGUGAGCGGGCACAGUGGGACUGAGGAGCGGCCCGGACUGCUACGGGAGGCAGCAGUGGGGGAUUGUGGACGAUGGGCGGAAGCCUGAAGCAGCGACGCCGCGUGGGGGAUGACGGCCUUCGGGGUGUAAACCCCUUUCGGCGAUGACGGAGAGGGAGUGACGGUAAUGGGAGAAGAAGCACCGGCUAACUACGUG
This 468-nucleotide ribosomal RNA is filed under the name uncultured bacterium. RNAcentral's name for it is "partial 16S ribosomal RNA". It matches the Rfam family "Bacterial small subunit ribosomal RNA", at positions 28 to 507 of the family's 1533-position model. The record is from RNAcentral.